UGGCGGCUUUAGCGCGGUGGUCCCACCUGACCCCAUGCCGAACUCAGAAGUGAAACGCCGUAGCGCCGAUGGUAGUGUGGGGUCUCCCCA
RNAcentral lists this ribosomal RNA (90 nucleotides) under Enterobacter ludwigii. The record is from RNAcentral. Lineage: Bacteria; Pseudomonadati; Pseudomonadota; Gammaproteobacteria; Enterobacterales; Enterobacteriaceae.